CGGCCAGACAAGUCGUUGGGAAAUCCACGCGCUCAACGCGUGGGCGUNCAGCGGAAACUGUCUGGCUUGGGGCCGGAAGACUCGAGGGGUACGUCUGGGGUAGGAGUGAAAUCCUGUAAUCCUGGACGGACCGCCGGUAGCGAAAGCGCCUCGAGAGGACGGACCCGACGGUGAGGGACGAAAGCCAAGGUCUCGAACCG
Molecule: ribosomal RNA, 200 nt
Filed under: uncultured archaeon
Lineage: Archaea
Description: partial 16S ribosomal RNA
Rfam family: Archaeal small subunit ribosomal RNA
Source: RNAcentral